Long non-coding RNA from Gigantopelta aegis, 650 nucleotides. RefSeq lists it as uncharacterized. The record is from RefSeq and is a predicted model, not a curated record. The transcript is spliced from 3 exons. Lineage: Eukaryota; Metazoa; Mollusca; Gastropoda; Neomphalida; Peltospiridae.
UGCACGAGACGAACUAUUUCCGGUUUGCUAUAAAGCACUGUUGGUUAAUAGACCAGAACCGUAGUGUUAUUGCUUAACCUGUGAAAACGAUGUUGUUGUUUUGAUUAACGUUAUGGAUUAUAAAUAACAUUGAUAUUAGAAAUAUAUGCUUAGAUAUUCGCUGAUUUGUGUAUCCAUUGUGUAUUGUAAGACCAUAUUGUGUUUUUCUUGAGAGUAUAUUUGACGUCAUACUAGAGAUUCAAAAAAGACCAGUGAUGUCAAUGUUGGGGUAUAAAUAGAACUGUUAAGUCAGUUGUAAACAGUUGGAUCCAAAUUUUGACAACUAUCAGCUGAUCGAGCUAAACUUUGCAGUUAUAACGUUUCAUUGAAUAUUUUUCUUACAUUUUGGACAGCAUUGAGAGGCACAAUUUGUGAAGUCGACUGAAUCUGCGUGCAAAAGGAUCCUUGCGAAGUGCAUCACCAGAGAAGUACAAAGAAGCUGGUUGGCAGAAUAAAUGAACAGAGCAGAAGCGAUUCAUCUUCGACUAAUUCCUUUAGAACACACCGUGUUCUGUCCACAUCAUGGUCACAAGAAUCCACUGCCAAGGUGAUCACUUGUUGGUGCAAACUUGGGAACUCAGAAGUGAUCUGUGCUAGAACUGAACAGAACA